This is a long non-coding RNA of Solea senegalensis (Senegalese sole), 1517 nucleotides long. RefSeq lists it as uncharacterized. The transcript has 7 exons. NCBI's taxonomy places the organism in Eukaryota, Metazoa, Chordata, Actinopteri, Pleuronectiformes, Soleidae. The record is from RefSeq and is a predicted model, not a curated record.
AAUAGUGUUUUUAAAAACAAAAAAUAAACUAAAAAGGUUUUCUGUAAUGGUUUGUUCUCCUGUCUUUAAGGGGUUUGCUUCAAAUUAUUGGUCAGGAAAAUCGCUUAAUCCGGAGACAGGGAGAGAGAGAGAGAGAGAGAGAGACAAAACGAGUCCUCAUCCACUCACAGUGCAGCAGAUAAACCUGUGCUGUGUUCACGGCCUCAUCAUCCUCAUCAUCAUCAUCAUCAUCAUAGAGCUCCAACCUUUUAAAGAGACGCGCCGGUCUCAGAGGAGGCCGUGAACGCAGCAGAGCAGGAGCCCUGGAUUAUUUGUCUUCUUCUUCUUUCUUUUUUAUCAUUUCAUUUUUUUAAACUGGACAAAUCCUCAGCGGUAUGUGAUGAAGGAGAUAAAAUAUGUACAUUUAAUCCAGAGUUAAUACUUUAAAAAAAAAAAGAUUUUGUUUUUGUCUUCAUGCGCUGCUGCUCCAGUUUUGUGUGUCUGCGCCUUUAAAAAGGUGCACAGAGAGGUGCGCCUCUGUCCCUGCCAGGUAAAAAAAAAAAAAAAAAGGGGAGGAGGUUGAGAUUGGAGAGAGAGGGAGAGGAGAAGAGAGGAGAAGAGAGGAGAGGAGCGCAGAGCUCAAAUUGACAUUUGAUACUCAGGAAGUUGAGGACGCCGCUUGGAUUUCUUUUGUUUCAUUGUAAAUGUGCAGAGCUUCUGCCGCUGCAGGCGAACAGCGACCGGAGCUGCGAGUUCCUCCCUCAGCACUUUAAUCAUGGAACAGCCUUUUCUUUUCUUUUCUUUUCUUUCUUUCUUUCUUUUCUUUUUUUUUAAAAAAUGUAGCAUUGAUAGGUUUUAAAAUGUCCGGCGCGGCUCUGACUUUUCUGUGCAGUUUUCAAGCUUCACGCAUGACGCGCAGCGAUGGAGCCGGAGGAAGUUUGCCUGCAGGCCGCCGACCUCGCCGCUGGAGCUCCGCUGAAGGCCCUUUUUUUGCUUUUGUGCCACUCGGCCGACUCAAAACACGAGGAGAAAACAGGAGACGGGGAUGCCAUCAAUAGUGAGAGGAGGUAGUUCUGAGGCCAGCUCUCCACCUGGAGGAGCAUGUUCAGCCAGAGCGUUCUCCAAAUCCUCCAACAUCAUGCUCUUAUACUUCCUUACCUGGAGGGUAGACAGUCAUUGAACGCAACACCAGAUUCCAGUAGCCACGCCCCUUUAUGGUGACACUUCGCUGCUGCUCCAGCUGCUGCUGUUUGAUACCUGAGGAUUCUGCAAAGUGUGAUGCGAACGUGACUACGAAGAAAAACGAAGACCAGAACAAGCGUCUCAAGUUUCUUCAAUUAGCUGCACCUGUGUAACUCGGGCACAACGUUAAUUGUACUGAGGUGUAAAGUACACAGGCUGUGGUGCACACCUGCUGGUGAUCUGAUUAGAUGACAGCUUCCAUGUGAAAGAGUAAUAAGAUCACUGCACUGAAACUGGAGCCCAAGCUUGAAUCCUGGCCACCACUGAGACACCAACGUAUCUAUGUAUGUCCUUUA